RNAcentral lists this ribosomal RNA (401 nucleotides) under uncultured bacterium. Its description in RNAcentral is "bacterial SSU rRNA". It matches the Rfam family "Bacterial small subunit ribosomal RNA", at positions 29 to 418 of the family's 1533-position model. The record is from RNAcentral.
AGCGAACGUUAGCGGCGGGCCUAACACAUGCAAGUCGAGCGAGAAAGUGGCUUCGGCCAUCAGUAAAGCGGCGGACGGGUGAGUAACACGUAGGUAAUCUUCCUUCGAGCGGGGGACAACGGUCCGAAAGGACCGCUAAUACCGCAUACGUUUCUCGGGACCUCGGUCCUGGGAAGGAAAGCUAGGUAGCAAUAUCCGGCACUCGAUGAGGAGCCUGCGUCGCAUCAGCUAGUUGGUGGGGAAUGGCCCACCAAGGCGAAGACGCGUAGCUGGUCUGAGAGGAUGAUCAGCCACACUGGGACUGAGACACGGCCCAGACUCCUACGGGAGGCAGCAGUGGGGAAUAUUGGACAAUGGGCGCAAGCCUGAUCCAGCCACGCCGCGUGAGUGAUGAAGGCCUU